This 226-nucleotide unclassified non-coding RNA is filed under the name uncultured fungus. RNAcentral's name for it is "sequence contains ITS1, 5.8S rRNA gene". The stretch from base 178 to 226 matches the Rfam family "5.8S ribosomal RNA", at positions 1 to 49 of the family's 154-position model. Lineage: Eukaryota; Fungi. The record is from RNAcentral.
UCUCCGUAGGUGAACCUGCGGAGGGAUCAUUACCGAGUGAGGGUUCCGGCCCGACCUCCAACCCCAUGUGAACCGAAACCUGUUGCUUCGGGGGCGACCCUGCCGUUUCGACGGCGAGCGCCCCCGGAGGCCUUCAAACACUGCAUCUUUGCGUCGGAGUUUAUACAAAUUAAACAAAACUUUCAACAACGGAUCUCUUGGUUCGGGCAUCGAUGAAGAACGCAGC